AGACCCCUUGAAGACGACGAGGUAGAUAGGUUGGAGGUGGAAGUGCAGCAAUGCAUGGAGCUGACCAAUACUAAUCGGUCGAGGGCUUAUCCUAAUAACUA
This 101-nucleotide ribosomal RNA is filed under the name Paenibacillus dendrobii. Its description in RNAcentral is "partial 23S ribosomal RNA". It matches the Rfam family "Bacterial large subunit ribosomal RNA", at positions 2831 to 2925 of the family's 2925-position model. The record is from RNAcentral. Lineage: Bacteria; Bacillati; Bacillota; Bacilli; Caryophanales; Paenibacillaceae.